AUUGAACGCUGGCGGAAUGCUUUACACAUGCAAGUCGAACGGUAGAGGGGGCAACCCCUUGAGAGUGGCGAACGGGUGAGUAAUAUAUCGGAACGUGCCCAGUCGUGGGGAUAACGUAGCGAAAGUUACGCUAAUACCGCAUACGAUCUACGGAUGAAAGCGGGGGACUCGCAAGAGCCUCGCGCGAUUGGAGCGCCGAUAUCAGAUUAGGUAGUUGGUGGGGUAAAGGCUCACCAAGCCAACGAUCUGUAGCUGGUCUG
This 260-nucleotide ribosomal RNA is filed under the name uncultured bacterium. RNAcentral describes it as "partial 16S ribosomal RNA". It matches the Rfam family "Bacterial small subunit ribosomal RNA", at positions 30 to 294 of the family's 1533-position model. The record is from RNAcentral.